Molecule: ribosomal RNA, 451 nt
Filed under: Methanoculleus sp. enrichment culture clone CIBANICRA-40
Lineage: Archaea; Methanobacteriati; Methanobacteriota; Methanomicrobia; Methanomicrobiales; Methanomicrobiaceae
Description: bacterial SSU rRNA
Rfam family: Archaeal small subunit ribosomal RNA
Source: RNAcentral
AGGCCCUACGGGGCGCAGCAGGCGCGAAAACUUUACAAUGCGGGCAACCGUGAUAAGGGAACCUCGAGUGCCUGUAUAUGCAGGCUGUCCAGGUGUCUAAAACACACCUGAAGAAAGGGCCGGGCAAGACCGGUGCCAGCCGCCGCGGUAAUACCGGCGGCUCGAGUGGUGGCCGCUUUUAUUGGGCUUAAAGCGUUCGUAGCUGGGUCGUUAAGUCUCUUGGGAAAUCCGGCAGCUCAACUGUCGGGCGUCUAAGAGAUACUGGCGAUCUUGGAACCGGGAGAGGUGAGGGGUACUUCGGGGGUAGGAGUGAAAUCCUGUAAUCCUCGAGGGACCACCUGUGGCGAAGGCGCCUCACCAGAACGGCUUCGACAGUGAGGGACGAAAGCUGGGGGAGCAAACCGGAUUAGAUACCCGGGUAGUCCCAGCCGUAAACUAUGCGCGUUAGGUG